Molecule: non-coding RNA, 400 nt
Organism: Thunnus maccoyii (southern bluefin tuna)
Lineage: Eukaryota; Metazoa; Chordata; Actinopteri; Scombriformes; Scombridae
Source: the annotation of a RefSeq genome assembly
AUGAUGGACUAUAGGACAGGACUGCUGCUUUUAACUAUCUGCUGGGCAGGUGUUGAUGGUCAGACUCUGACAGAAUCUGAACCAGCAGUUAAAAAGCCUGGAGAAUCCCACCAACUGACCUGCACAACAUCUGGAUUGUCAUUCAGUGGCUACUGGAUGUCCUGGGUCAGACAGGCUCCUGGAAAAGGACCGGAGUGGAUUGCAGCUAUCAAAUAUGACAGUGCUGAGAUCUACUACUCUCAGUCAGUUCAAGGCCGGUUCACCAUCUCCAGAGACAACAGCAGAGAGUAGCUGUAUCUGCAGAUGAACAGUCUGAAGACUGAAGAUUCUGCUGUUUAUUAUUGUGCUCGAGACUCACAGUGACUGAGUUGGUUGAGCAGCUGUAAAAAAUCCUACAAUA